RNAcentral lists this long non-coding RNA (898 nucleotides) under Triticum aestivum (bread wheat). Its description in RNAcentral is "long non-coding RNA (TAES_LNC003501)". The record is from RNAcentral. Lineage: Eukaryota; Viridiplantae; Streptophyta; Magnoliopsida; Poales; Poaceae.
UACAUUUCAAUCAAUUCAUAGAUAUAUCUCAUUGUGAUUCCAAUGUCAUUUCGUAAACAUAUCAAAGUUCAAAUAUUUCAAAGAACACAGACUAUCAAUUUCGCAUAUGUGCACACUAUUUUGUACAGUUUCAUAUCACAAAACCAAAUGACACAAAAAUUGAUUCAUUCAUCUUCUCAAUUAUAUCAAUUGAUUCCACUGGAUCCCACAAUUCAUAAAUCAUGUCGUUCAAAUCAUGUUUCAAUGUAUUUCACACACAUUCCACAAUAAUAACCGAUGCUCUCUGUCACAAACAUACCAACACCUGAAAUUGAUGGAGCAUGGGGAGGCCGGCCAUCUGGUAAAGAAGCAAGGGAUGUUCAAAUCAUGCAAAAUAAAAAAGGAAAUCAUUAAGUACAAAUGGAGAGAGGUUAGGGGAGAUGGGCUUCAUUACUCACCAGAUCCGGUUACUCCUACUUGGAGUCGUCGGAUCGAGCAACGCCAGUGCGCAGUGGCCCGUCGUGGUAGGUGGCCUUCAUGGUGGAACCUUGCUGGAGCAGCUCCCCCCAACGCCCACCACAGCGUAGCCGGCGUCCGCCGGCGUGAUUCGGCGUCACUCCUCGCCGGCCUCGUAGUAUUGCCAUGCCACCAGUCUUGCCUAUGUUCCCCCGUGGUAGGUGACAGUCACAGAAGCCGGAUCCGCUGUUGGAGGUUGAUGGAAAAGCGAGAUCUAUUGGCAGCGGUGACCGGCAUGGAACUCACGAGAGAGAGAGAGAGAGAGAGAGAGAGAGAGAGGAGAGAGCUUGAUGUGGCUAGGAAACAACAGUGGGGGCUUGAUAUUUCUCUGUCGUGGGGGCCAUCUCGUAUUGCAUCUGUAUAGGUCUCGUAUCCUGAAUCAGAGGUGGAAAAAGAAAGUUUG